This 163-nucleotide ribosomal RNA is filed under the name Dalechampia clematidifolia. Its description in RNAcentral is "5.8S ribosomal RNA". It matches the Rfam family "5.8S ribosomal RNA". From Rfam's summary of the family: 5.8S ribosomal RNA (5.8S rRNA) is a component of the large subunit of the eukaryotic ribosome. Lineage: Eukaryota; Viridiplantae; Streptophyta; Magnoliopsida; Malpighiales; Euphorbiaceae. The record is from RNAcentral.
UAACGACUCUCGGCAACGGAUAUCUCGGCUCUCGCAUCGAUGAAGAACGCAGCAAAAUGCGAUACUUGGUGUGAAUUGCAGAAUCCCGUGAAUCAUCGAGUUUUUGAACGCAAGUUGCGCCCGAAGCCUUUCGGCCGAGGGCACGUCUGCCUGGGUGUCAYGC